RNAcentral lists this transfer RNA (73 nucleotides) under Ixodes scapularis (black-legged tick). RNAcentral's name for it is "tRNA-Thr". It matches the Rfam family "tRNA". From Rfam's summary of the family: Transfer RNA (tRNA) molecules are approximately 80 nucleotides in length. Their secondary structure includes four short double-helical elements and three loops (D, anti-codon, and T loops). Further hydrogen bonds mediate the characteristic L-shaped molecular structure. tRNAs have two regions of fundamental functional importance: the anti-codon, which is responsible for specific mRNA codon recognition, and the 3' end, to which the tRNAs corresponding amino acid is attached (by aminoacyl-tRNA synthetases). tRNAs cope with the degeneracy of the genetic code in two manners: having more than one tRNA (with a specific anti-codon) for a particular amino acid; and 'wobble' base-pairing, i.e. permitting non-standard base-pairing at the 3rd anti-codon position. Lineage: Eukaryota; Metazoa; Arthropoda; Arachnida; Ixodida; Ixodidae. The record is from RNAcentral.
CGCUGGUUAUCUCAGUUGGUAGAGCGCUCCACCUGUAAUGGAGAGGUCCCGGGUUCGAUACCCGGACCAGGCG